This is a long non-coding RNA of Physella acuta, 508 nucleotides long. RefSeq lists it as uncharacterized. Lineage: Eukaryota; Metazoa; Mollusca; Gastropoda; Physidae. The record is from RefSeq and is a predicted model, not a curated record.
GUGUAUAAAGUGUAAACUUGAGAUAGCUACUGUUGUGUUCUAAGCACUACAAGGAGAAUAAUGUAACAUGAUGAAGCUUGUAUUUUACAUUACUGAGUCACAGCAGUGAAGGCUAACUGCUGCUCUCACGAGUUCCAUUUAAAAUUGUACUGUAUAAAUCUAAGAUUGCGGAACAGAGAGGUUACAACAAGCUAAAAAUCCAUCCAGCCUAAGGGAAGCUGUAAAUACCAGGGGGAGGGGGCGCAGCAGUCAUUCUUCAGAGCCCCCCAUUCACAAUGAGAUGCCUCAAAGAAGCUCUAGUUGUCAGAGACUGUUCUAUGUCUCAUAAAGUGCUCAAGUUAACUAGAUGUUGUCUAAUGUUGUGUUCAAGUUUACUAGUUUAGUUUUUCUUAAAAUGGAUCAAGAAAAAGUGUUUGUUCUUACUCUUGGCUGGAACAACAAAGACACUAGGACUAGGAAUGAGACUGCUUGGCAGUUCUGUACCAUUAAAACUUUUUACAUUGACAAC